AUUGAACGCUGGCGGCAUGCCUUACACAUGCAAGUCGAACGGUAACGCGGGGCAACCUGGCGACGAGUGGCGAACGGGUGAGUAAUGCAUCGGAACGUGCCCAGUAGUGGGGGAUAGCCCGGCGAAAGCCGGAUUAAUACCGCAUACGACCUACGGGUGAAAGGGGGGGAUCGCAAGACCUCUCGCUAUUGGAGCGGCCGAUGUCAGAUUAGGUAGUUGGUGGGGUAAAGGCCUACCAAGCCGACGAUCUGUAGCUGGUCUGAGAGGACGACCAGCCACACUGGGACUGAGACACGGCCCAGACGCCUACGGGAGGCAGCAGUGGGGAAUUUUGGACAAUGGGCGCAAGCCUGAUCCAGCCAUGCCGCGUGCGGGAAGAAGGCCUUCGGGUUGUAAACCGCUUUUGUCAGGGAAGAAAUCUUCUGGGUUAAUACCUCGGGGUAAUGACGGUACCUGAAGAAUAAGCACCGGCUAACUACGUGCCAGCCGCCGCGGUAA
RNAcentral lists this ribosomal RNA (498 nucleotides) under uncultured bacterium. RNAcentral describes it as "partial 16S ribosomal RNA". It matches the Rfam family "Bacterial small subunit ribosomal RNA", at positions 29 to 523 of the family's 1533-position model. The record is from RNAcentral.